CAGGGAGACAACAAAAUGUUUAAUAUUAUUAUUUUGUCACCUUAGGUCGAUCGGUAUCUCACGUUCUUAAUUUGUUAAGAAUUUCAUUUCCUAAGUUUUUCUAGGUCACACCCAUUAUUUUUCCUGGGCCAUUAGCUCAGGUGGUUAGAGCGCACCCCUGAUAAGGGUGAGGUCCCUGGUUCAAGUCCAGGAUGGCCCAUAUCUCUAUGUUGGGGGUAUAGCUCAGUUGGUAGAGCGCCUGCUUUGCAAGCAGGAUGUCAGCGGUUCGAGUCCGCUUACCUCCACUGAUUACCACCUCUUCCAUAAUCGGUAGAAAGGAAAUGUUUUGAGUUGUGAUCAUUAUUCUGAACGAAUCUAGCUUCCUAAUGAAAUCAUUAAGAUGCUGGACUCAUUGAAUUAAUUUCAUUGUUUUCAGAGAACCUUGACAACUGCAUAGAUUAUUUUUAAAGACAAUAAGCAUCUUUAAUGAUGCAGAUUUAUUAUUUGUGCGAAUGCAUUAAUAACAAUUCUAUUAAGCUGAUGCUUCAA
This 528-nucleotide transfer RNA is filed under the name uncultured Prochlorococcus sp. RNAcentral describes it as "partial 16S-23S ribosomal RNA intergenic spacer". The stretch from base 212 to 284 matches the Rfam family "tRNA". The record is from RNAcentral. Lineage: Bacteria; Bacillati; Cyanobacteriota; Cyanophyceae; Synechococcales; Prochlorococcaceae.